Xiphophorus hellerii (green swordtail) is the source of this 360-nucleotide long non-coding RNA. RefSeq lists it as uncharacterized. The transcript is spliced from 3 exons. The record is from RefSeq and is a predicted model, not a curated record. NCBI's taxonomy places the organism in Eukaryota, Metazoa, Chordata, Actinopteri, Cyprinodontiformes, Poeciliidae.
GGCAGUAAAGGGAGGGAGAAACCACAAUUUGCCCACAUUUCCACAGCAGUCCGACACCGAGGCGCUUCCCAGUCGAGCUCCGUGGUCCGAAACAAGCAGAAAGCUUUUUAUUUUGACCCGUUUGGUUGAGCCGGGUGGGGGAAAACUCCUGAAAUAUCCCCGGGACCUGGCUUGUUUGCCGUUGAUUCCUGCGGACGCCUGCGCGCAGGAACAGCUGAGGGGGAUAUAAGUUAUUUCCAGCAGAUCAGCGGAUCAGGAGAGCCUGGAAGAUGGGUUCACUCCCUGCGAUUUCUGCCCUGGUUUUGGGCAUUGUGGUUCCAGCCCUGGCCGGAUACAUUGAGUCUCUUGCUACCAACUGCG